Molecule: long non-coding RNA, 829 nt
Filed under: Manacus vitellinus (golden-collared manakin)
Lineage: Eukaryota; Metazoa; Chordata; Aves; Passeriformes; Pipridae
Description: lncRNA (ENSMVIG00005018634.1)
Source: RNAcentral
UACAAUGAAAGUGCAAAGCUUUGCUCCUGCACGGAGACCAGAUUAGGAAUGGAGUUCCGGUCUUCACUGCUGUCAUCUGCCUCACUGGCACUGGGGGUCACGGCCUGCUGGAUGACUUUUUUUUCCACUGCAUAUUCCUGCUCUUCUGUCUUGGGGUCUCCCUUGACCAAGAACUCUCCUUUCCGAUAGGAUAUGGAGACAUUGGUCCGUGGGUAGGUACCAUAAACCCUCCGGAGAUCAUCCUUCACAAAUUCUGGGAGGUCUUUCCUUGGUCCAAACACCUUUCCAAGCUUGCCCCAUUGAAGCUCCCCUCUCAUUGUAAAGCCUUCUGGCCACGUGUCUCGAUACUGAUCUGACCUCUGGUAGGCAGCGUAUGGAUGGUAGUUUGCAUAGGGAUUGUAGAAAGGGAUGGGGACCAUGGGAGGGAAGUGCCAGGUGUAGUAUGGAUGGAUAUAGGGAUUGGAGGCACUAUAGAGAUGAUGAUACUCCACCUGACCACCUGAAUAGUCAGGGUAGCUGUUCUGGUCCACCACAAAGGUGAUGGGUCGACUGUAGAAGUUGUGCAUGUGGAUGGGAGGGAACAUCACGGAGCUGGUCAUGUCUUCUGCUCUCCCAGGCCGCAGCGGUGGGUAGGCGUAGGCAGAAGGUGGGAUCAUGGCUGGGUAAUAUUCCCGUGGCACAAAGCUGGACUGGUACAUUGUACAGGAGACUGGGGCUUUACGCAGCAGGCACUUCUCUGAAGAAGUUGCAGAGUCUCAAAAGCUGUGAGGAACAGGAGGGGAAGAGAAAAAAAAUUUACAUUGGUUAUAAAAAUAUUCCAGAACCAGGC